This is a long non-coding RNA of Passer domesticus (house sparrow), 668 nucleotides long. RefSeq lists it as uncharacterized. The record is from RefSeq and is a predicted model, not a curated record. The transcript has 3 exons. Lineage: Eukaryota; Metazoa; Chordata; Aves; Passeriformes; Passeridae.
GGAAAUGUGUGUCCAGGGGUGCUGAGGGGUGCAGAGCCAGACCCAGAGCCCUCAUGGUGCUGGAGGCUCUGGAUGGCAGUCCUGGGUUCCUCUGCAUGAAGGAUGAGAACAUGAACAUCUGUGCUGUCAAUGCAGUUUUUAUCCAUUCUGGAUCACCACCAGAUUCCAGCCAGCACCUCCAACUGCUCCCAGGCUGGGAAAGGCAAAACCAGCAGAGACAGAAGGGCUGAAUGAGAACAGAGCCAGGCUGAGUGCUGGAUCCUGCUCAGUCACUUUUCCUGUGACCCCCAGUGGCUUCAUCAAUGAACAUUGUCCAGAGGAGCCCAUGGAGCUGCUCCAGGGCUGGAGCCCCUCUGCUCUGGAGCCAGGCUGGCACAGCUGGGGGUGCUCACCUGGAGAGGAGAAGGCUCCAGGGAGAGCUCAGAGCCCUUCCAGGGCCUGAAGGGGCUCCAGGAGAGCUGGAGAGGGACUGGGGACAAGGAUGGAGGGACAGGACACAGGGAAUGGCUCCCACUGCCAGAGGGCAGGGAUGGAUGGGAUAUUGGGAAUUAGGAAUUGUUCCCUGUGAGGGUGGGCAGGCCCUGGCACAGGGUGCCCAGAGCAGCUGUGGCUGCCCCUGGAUCCCUGGCAGUGCCCAAGGCCAGGCUGGGUGGGAUUUGGAACAGCCU